RNAcentral lists this ribosomal RNA (525 nucleotides) under Triticum aestivum (bread wheat). Its description in RNAcentral is "partial small subunit ribosomal RNA". The record is from RNAcentral. Lineage: Eukaryota; Viridiplantae; Streptophyta; Magnoliopsida; Poales; Poaceae.
AUGCUUGACCUUAUCCACUAUGGGCAAACGGGGUUCAUCCGAGGCAGGGGCAUUGCGGAAAAUUUCCUGCUUGCAGCGGACAUUGUUCAGACUUGCCACAAACGUAAGGUCCCAGCCAUUGUUUUAAAAUUAGACUUCCAAAAGGCGUUUGACUCAGUUUCUUGGGACGCCUUAACUACCAUUCUUCACGCCAAGGGCUUCCCUUUGCUUUGGGAGCGUUGGAUCUCAUGUCUCAACAUGUCCAGCACAUCAGCAAUUCUGCUAAAUGGUAAACUGGGCCCUUGGUUCAAUUGCAAGAAAGGCUUGUGACAGGGUGACUCGUUAUCUCCUUAUCAUUUCAUCAUUGUCGCCGAUGUUUUGCAACGCUUGAUCAUCCAGGACUUCGAUUCGGGUCAGCUCACUCACCCGCUCGAUGACUCUCUCCCCUGUCUGGUUCUCCAAUACGCAGGGCGACACCUUGAUUGUUCUCCCGGCCAUCGAGGAGCAGCUAAACCACCUAAAACGCAUUCUUGGUCAAUUCUCUGA